Molecule: long non-coding RNA, 958 nt
Filed under: Chinchilla lanigera (long-tailed chinchilla)
Lineage: Eukaryota; Metazoa; Chordata; Mammalia; Rodentia; Chinchillidae
Description: lncRNA (ENSCLAG00000023719.1)
Source: RNAcentral
CGCUGGUGUGGGACAGCUGCCUGUGUGGAAGAACUCCAGCCCGCGCCCAUGUCCCUCAGCUUCUGAAACAGGACAAAUGCAUAAAAAAAUCUGACAGAAUGUGCGGAGUCGAGGUUGUCCAGAGAGUCACGGUAGUGACUGGGCGGGUUUGGGGGCAGGCUCAGGUGCAAAUGGCUAAGGGCUAGACAUCUGUGGUGGCCCCGACUGGACGUCUUCGCAGCCUACGCCGCUGCGGGAAGGGGAAGACCCGAUCAGCAGCCCCGGGGCUCGCCCAGGGCUCCAACGACGGGCAGUGUCCUCCCCACACUGAGCGCCCUCGAGUCGCGCGGGAAGAGAGUGUUGGUAAUGUCAGCGACUCCGAGCUGCACGGUUAGUGUCUCCGCUGUGGGUCCCAUCCCCGCGCCCGACCGAGCUUCAGAAAGAUCGCUGACUCGCAUGCGGCCGCACAGCCACAGUGAGAAGAAGCCGGAACUCAGCCUGGGAUUCUGACUGUGUGUCUGAGUAGACACAGUUCCGGGUCCCCCAGUUCCCUCUGCAAGUCCCCCACAGAGACUGCCAUACCCAUCCGGGAAAAAACAAACCAACACAUGCAUACUCAAGCCCACUCCUCUAAGCAUAGAUGUGUACCCAUCAAGGAAGGCCCUCUGCCACUGUGCACGCGCCCCAGCUCCUCUAUCGCCUCUGCCGGCCACUCCCUCAUGACUAUAUCUGCUCAUCUCCUGCCAGGUCGGCCUCUGCAGACUGUUGCGCAGAGCGCAACAAACAGAUGCGCAGUGGUGUUCCCUUCCCAGAUACUGUAGGACACAGUGCAGCGGCCUCUGGGAGCAAACCAAGAGGGAGGCAGAUCAUGGGAUCCCUGGGAUGUCGAAGUCAGGGGGGACCAGUCACCGCGGGCGUAGAGAUCUGGGAGUCAUUCCAGGACCGCUGGCAGAUGUCUGAAACUACCAAUAGCACCUAA